This is a long non-coding RNA of Harpia harpyja (harpy eagle), 5746 nucleotides long. RefSeq lists it as uncharacterized. NCBI's taxonomy places the organism in Eukaryota, Metazoa, Chordata, Aves, Accipitriformes, Accipitridae. The transcript has 4 exons. The record is from RefSeq and is a predicted model, not a curated record.
UGGAAUGGAAGAGCCAGCCCAGACAAAGUUAAGUUUGCUGCUCGGGUCUGAGAGCAAAAUACAAUUUUUCAGAACGUAUUCUGGGUUUGCUUUCUUGGGCAGCUGCAGUCCGCAGAGUUUCUCAGCUUGAGUUUUUGUUUUCUUCCUCCCCUUCCCCCUGCAGCAACUCUGCUCUGUGAUGACCUUCCUCCCAGCCAAGGAGUGUGUGGCUGCCCAUCUUGCUCUUCCUCCCCCUCUUUGAAACUCAGUAUUCCCUGCCAGUGGAGGGGCAGAUACUAGGUUUUCCCAUCAGGUUUCUGGUGUUUGCUAAUCCUGGGGGUUAACGAUUGAGCACAAAUACCAAAUUUAACUGUUACCCUGUCAGCUCCCUCACCCAACUUAUAUCUUUAUCAUGUUGGCCAUUAUUAACUUAGUUUUAGAGCCUGGAUGUUGCUGCAGUGCAGAAUGACAGAACAGUUCCUGGCUGGAGCCACACUUAGCAAUGCUCUCAUGCAUAAAGACCCACGGUGUGUAACCUACCCUGCACUACUGCUAGGUCCAAAAUAGUCAAGGUUUCCUCAAAUCUCAAUAGUUAGCAGAUGGUGGUUGCUCCUGAUAAAUGGUGCCAGGCAGCAUUUGGAUGGGGGAAGGUUUCUGCUGCGGAGAGCCGUGAGGAUGUCACCAGGGCUGGCAGAGCCCUGGAGCCUGCUGAAAUUCAGUGGUAGGAGUGCAAAAUUUCUCUUUCAAUCACAGGAAUUGAGGUUUUGUUGGCUUGACUUAGUCUGUUUCAUCCUCUCGCUGAAGAUAACCCCCAACAAAAAAAAUUAUGUUUGAUAUGAAAUCUCUUUUUCCUGGCCAAGCAAAACACUUCGAUUCCCUCCUGCCCCUGGCACCUUACCAGCCGCUUCAGAAAGCUCAGUGAUGUUGUGGGGCUUCACGGCGGAGAUCGAAGUGGCCCAGCUUGGCUGGUAACCCACAUGGCAGGGGGUAAUUGACUGUACCUCGGGCCGCAUGGGCCAGGGAUGGAAAGGAGAAUCCCACCUUCUUGCUAAGGCCCUCAGCCAGGCCGUAGGACACCUGCUUUUCCUUCAGCAAAGAGUUUGUUGCUUGAGCAAGCUGCUGCACUCCCGGCUUCAGCAGGGUAAGCGCCUGGCCAGUCCGAAUUGCCUCCUGCAUUAGUGCUGUAAGCACCAGGUCGCUGGCUAAAACCUGCGCUGCUGCAGGAGGAGGAGGUGGUUUAAGUCACCUGCCUCCAGAAUGACUCUUCUCCUCCAGCUGUGCUCUAGCAGGGUUGGUAAGUCAUGCCCUUCGCAGGCAAAAUCUUCCUAACAGGGACUGCUCCUCGGGCCAUUGGGUGCUGAAGAAGUAGAAUAAGUGUUAAUGGCUUCCUUGAAGUGCUGGAGGGUUAGACAAGGCUGGGUGCGCUCUGGACCUUUACCAGAGGUGGGAAAAUAAUUUCAAAGCCUUAGUUCGAGUAAGUUCAGAUACCCCAAACCAGUUUAGGGAGAUAAUGCUUUCCUUUUGGCAAACUUGCUACUGGGCAAAACUGUUCUGCCUGUUUCUGAAUUCUAUUGCCUAGACGUUGAUACUCCUUUGCUUUACAAAACAAGCACCAGUUGGGCGUUACGAAGGAUGGCUGCUUUUGAGCUGCUGAUUCUUUCAAGGCCGUGCUCAGAUCUAGGCUGCGGAUGCACGGCGUGGUCUAAACACCCUCCCUGGGUUCUAGUUGCAACCUGCAAGAUUUAUCGGAGCGCCCGCUGAUGUCUGAGGUGAUGCAGCCCUUUCCCAGUGCGACCAUCCCCGACUCCGCACGCCGAGCAGACGGAAGGCGUCCCUUUGAAGGGACACCUCGUCUGAAGGGACACUUCUGAGGGAGACUGGCACGGAAACCCUGCCCUGUGAGCCUUGCUUUCUCUCCGCUGACCUGAAGUGCAGCUGCCUGCUCGUACAUCUCUGAGAGGUUCUCUCUGCCAUUACGGCCUCGGCGCAGGGCUGCGCGGUGGUCCUCUCUCACGCAGGAACAAAAGUUUCAUGCUGGGUUAAUGGUUGUUUCUGACCCUUCUGUGAUACUCUCACAGAAAAAGUCCAGGCAGGGGAUUGCACAGGUGGGCAAAAUUGCCAAGGAAUUACAGACAUCUUGACAUUUGAAAAGUGACAUUUUGACCUUUUUCACAAACGGGCGGGUUUUUUGUGGGUUAUGUGGCCCUUACGUUUAGAAAAUUGAUGCUAGCAUAAAGUGUAUUAUAAUAAUUAUUUGUGAAAUAAUAAUAGCAUUUUAAUGGUAUGCAAAUUACUGAUUGAGGAAUCCAGCAUGCCCAUAACGAUUCCUGUACUUUUAAUGUCAACAUUAAAAGCAAUAUCUAACUAACAGUGAUAAGGUAAAUUAGUGUUAAUAACAGUUUUGACACUAAUAGCAAGUUAUCAUUAUUUUAAAAGUCUUUCCUGUUGCCAAGGCUCAAACUGAUUUUAAAAAAGCCAUACCGCUUCUCGGCUUGCUGUCACUGACGCUUUGCCUACAACACUGUGAGGAGAUUUCACUCUUCUUGUUCCUAGCAAAGGUCUCUGUGAUUGCAGCAGAGUUCCUACUCUGUGGUCCAACACUAACUUAGGAAGCAGGAGGCCACCCCCAGUUCCUAAAAGACCUUUGCAGAGCAGCUUUUCCUUAAUCGAAUUUGGUAAAAUGUUUAUCAGCAAAGGGUUUUUAAAAAUGCCAUCGGUGUGCAGUGUUGAGUGGGUAGAGCGAGGGAACGGGAUCAAGGCUUUUAAAUUUUUUUCCUCUCUUGGCACAGCCAAGCUCAUCUCACCUCCUGGGGGUUUCACAUGCUCUGUUAGCAUUAGUUUUAUUUAUUCAGCACCUAUGGCCACAGGACCAUCCCAGAUGGGAAACACUCGCCCAGCUCUAUGGAGAAUAACUUAGAGGAAGCUUCGUGUGGAUGUGGUCAGUGCAGGUAAACCUGGGCUUUUCAUCGCAAGAGUUACCCUCUUCCCCUCUCCAAGGAAAAUGAUACUGUCGAUGAACAAAUUGCUAAAUAAACUAUUUGUUGAUUGUGGCUGGGACGGGUGUUACUCGGAGAGCUUUGCAUGGGACAGGCGCAGCUAUAAAGGGAUUAUAAAGAUGCAGUCUCUGUUCUGAAGCCUUCACAGCCUAAUUUUAGGCUUUUCUCAACUGCGUGGUAAUCAACACGGCAAGUCAUGGCUGAGAAAAUAUGAGAACUCCAGUAAGAGGUAGGUACCAUGUGCUUUGGUGGCCCUGAGUUGUGACGUGGCUGUGAUGUGGGCUACUUAAUUCACCCGGGGUCUGUGACUCUUCCCGAGGGUUUGUUUAUAAACAAAACCUCUGCUGAGAUCAAGAGAAGGUACCUUUUGUGCCAGGCAGUUGUUCAGGUAUGAACUGGUAAAUGUAACCUGAGAGAACAUUACGUGUGUGUUGGCUCCUUAAAAAUAUUCCGGUAGUGUCUGCUUCAUGCUAGUCCUAAACUGUUUUUUCUGGCUUGCUGCCUCUGUUGACGUUUUGCCUCAAACUGUAAUCCACGAGCAGUUAAAGCUUUGCACAAACCUCUCACAAAGGGUCUGCUUUCAAGCGAGGAGGGAGCUGCCUGACUGUCUGUGUGCCACGGUCUGAAAACAUUCCUCUGAAGCAUCCUGCUCUUCUGCGGGAUUAUUUCUCUAGCUCUCACUCUGCUCCCUUCAGUUCACCCUGCGCUGCUUGCUGCUCUCCUCUGUGCUUGCUCACGUUUCGAACCAAGCAAAAGCCUCACUGGGAGCUUGCGACGAGAGUAGCACGUCCAAGCUGAUGCCUGUACUGGAGGGUCUGGCUGGUGCCUGGGCUUUCACCAGAACUCAGCUGCGCAGGGAGCUUUUGGAAAAGGACUGACUCCCAACAGGGAAGGUCUAAGAAGGUCUGUUCAAACAGAUGAAAAUCCUACGUUCAAAUUAAGCUUUGCUACUGCUUUCAAUGUAGCAAAGGGAAGUUGUACCAGAAAACAAAGCCUCUCAAGGUUUGGCAAGCUAUCAGAACUCAAAGAUAGGGGCUGGGACUCUUUUGGGGCUCUGAAGUGUCACCAACUCACCACUCGCUCAGUGCAUGACUUUGGUUUGAGCAGGUAUGGCCCUGGGGUUUCUCCCCAGAAGGAUGCUGUUGCAGACUCUCAACUGCCUUUCCAAGGCACCAGGGGACCUUUGGUAAAUGGGCUCUGUGGAGCUGGCAUGUACUGAGGAGAGCUUUGAAAGUGCUUCUGUUUCACCUGAGCUUUCCCUGCAGUCAGUCAGCUCUUUGGCGGUGUAUCCUCGUUGGAGGUUGCGCCGGGCGUACACGUCGUAGUCCCGGACAAUCCUUGUGAUGAUAUCCGAUGUGGAGAUACCUUCGGUUCUCUGCGUUGGUACGAACAUUCCUGAGCAAAGUGGGAAAAGAAAGCCCUCUGAGAAAGCACGGCAGGACCAGGCGCUGCGGCAGGUAGCUGAGGAUGAACACAAAAAUGCCUGACCAACGGACACGUGCGCACUGACCCGCGCCCAGCAACGGCAGAGAAGGAUGUGCCAGGUUUGGGCACUCUCCAGCUCAGUCUGCUAACGAUGCAGCGACGCCAAGGGCUGCUGUCAUGUUGUCCUGUGCGCUCCCCACCUUACAGAAGAAAAGCAAAAUAGCUGCCUGUCCAGCACAUAUGCUGGAUGUCCCUCGGUGACCCGUCCUUACCAGAGCUGUGGUCAAAAGGCAGGAAAAGAAUUUGAGCUGAGGCUGAAAAGGUGCUAAAAAGGUAAAGCUGCCCUUACCUGCCUCCUUUAUGUGUUUGUAUACAUCAUCCGAGCCAGCGGAGGAGUACGGGAUGUCAUCGUGGGCUACAAAGUCAAUCUGCCAGUGAACAGAAGAAGAAUCACAUGCCACCAUCACUGAAUUUUGGUUCAGUGGGGGGUCGUUGUGGAGGAUCAUCUCUUUUCUCGACUUCAGCUGAAUUGCUUUUGACAUUCUCAUCCUAAAGCCAUCACCUAGAAUAUUGCACUAGAUUUAGGCCUACAACUGCUAUGUUGCAAGAUCGAUUACGAAAGAACAGAAAGCUUGUCUCCAGAAGCACUGCCAUUAACACAUCACUCUGGCUGGCUCUGUGUGAUAUUCUGCAGAAAACGUAAGACUCCCAUUCCUGCUUUUAUUGCUACUGGAAGAGCUAAGUCAAGUGGCAAAGCCUUGGCUUUCAAAACCGUGGAGGCAAGAUUACUGAUUCUGCCUCCUUGGGACUGUGCAUAUAUAUACAUGCAUACCUAGUACUGUCAAGCUCUCCUUUCGUCACCCAGUGAUGUGGACACUAAAAUACAUCCCAGUUAAUUAUGCUUUUGUUAAGAUUCAUAUAGAUUGCAAGUCAAUAGCAUGUAAGAAAUUCUGUCCUGCCUUUUAGAGGACGCAUGACAUUUUUAUGUAUUUCUGGCCAAUUAUUGCACCUGUUGAUGUUAAUAAGAAACAUGCCUUUAAUUCAGGACUUUAGUCACUAUGUGAUAACUUUCCUGGUUCAUGAUCUCCUUUCCUGAAAGUUAAUUUGUGAAGAAUUCUUCAGUGUUAUUUUGCAAUUCAAAAAUCCCACUACAGAAAUCAUCCCAGCAUAUUGAGAAAAAAAGGCAAGACAAAUACAACAUUUUCUGACAAAGAUGGAGGCAAGCAAUGCCACGUACCUAAUUUCAGUGACUGGAAUUAACUGAAUUAAAUAAUUUGCUCCAGCUAAUAGAAUUUCACAGACUUGCUGUUUAUUCUCAACUGUUAGUCUACAAAGGGGAAGGGAGG